CAGCAGCCGCGGUAAUACCAGCAGUUCAAGUCGUAUCCCUUUUUAUUGGGUCUAAAACAUCCGUAGCUUGACGUUUAAGUCUCUUGUGAAAUCUCACGUCUCAAGCGUGGUGAAGUGCAGGAGAUACUGGGCGACUAGAGAUCGGUAGACGUAAGGAGUACGCCGGAGGUAGUGGUAAAAUACGUUAAUCUUCGGUGGACUAACAAUGAGCGAAGGCACCUUACGAGGACGAAUCUGACAGUGAGGGAUGAAGGCCAGGGGCGCAAAACGGAUUAGAUACCCGUGUAGUCCUGGCAGUAAACACUGCUCACUAAACAUCGGGCCCUCUUCGGGAGGAUUCGGUGCUGAAGCGAAGGCGAAGAGUGAGCUACCUGGGAAGUAUAGUCGCAAGAUCGAAACUUAAAGGAAUUGGCGGGGAGACAUACAACGAGUGACGCGUGCGGUUCAAUCAGAUUUUACACCGUGAACCUCACCAGGAGCGACAGCAGGAUGAAGGUCAGUCUAAAGGGCUUACCUGACACGCUGAGCGGAGAUACAAAGCCGACGUCAGCCUGUGCUGUGAAGUGACCUGUUAAAUCAGGUAACAGGCGAGACCCGUGUCAUUAAUUACUACAGAAAUGGGUACAUUAAUGAGAUUGCCUUGGUAACAAGGAUGAAAGUGCGGGCUACGUUAGGUGGCUUGUCCCUAAUCCCCUGGGCUACACGCGCGCGGCAAUGGUAUGUUCAAAUGGAUGCGACUCCGAGAGGAGAAGCUAAUCCCCUAACGCAUAUCUCAGUCCAGAUUGCGGGUUGCAACCCACCCGCAUAACGUUGGAAUUCGUAGUAAUCGGGUAUUAGCACUGCCCGGUGAAUAAGUCCCUGCCCCUUGCACAC
RNAcentral lists this ribosomal RNA (873 nucleotides) under uncultured archaeon. Its description in RNAcentral is "bacterial SSU rRNA". It matches the Rfam family "Archaeal small subunit ribosomal RNA", at positions 459 to 1344 of the family's 1478-position model. The record is from RNAcentral.